CUGGCUCAGGACGAACGCUGGCGGCACGCUUAACACAUGCAAGUCGAACGGAGUUAUCGAGAGUUUGCUUUGAUAACUUAGUGGCGGACGGGUGAGUAACACGUGAGCAAUCUGCCCUUAAGAGGGGGAUAGCAGUUGGAAACGACUGAUAAUACCGCAUAAGAUAGUAGUACCGCAUGGUACAGCUAUAAAAGAUUUAUCGCUUAAGGAUGAGCUCGCGUCUGAUUAGCUAGUUGGUGAGGUAACGGCUCACCAAGGCAACGAUCAGUAGCCGGACUGAGAGGUUGGACGGCCACAUUGGGACUGAGACACGGCCCAGACUCCUACGGGAGGCAGCAGUGGGGAAUAUUGCACAAUGGAGGGAACUCUGAAUGCAGCGAUGCCGCGUGAGGGAAGAAGGUUUUAGGAUUGUAAACCUCUGUCUUUGGGGACGAUAAUGACGGUACCCAAGGAGGAAGCUCCGGCUAACUACGUGCCAGCCGCUGC
RNAcentral lists this ribosomal RNA (486 nucleotides) under uncultured bacterium. RNAcentral's name for it is "bacterial SSU rRNA". It matches the Rfam family "Bacterial small subunit ribosomal RNA", at positions 19 to 518 of the family's 1533-position model. The record is from RNAcentral.